RNAcentral lists this long non-coding RNA (474 nucleotides) under Coturnix japonica (Japanese quail). Its description in RNAcentral is "lncRNA (ENSCJPG00005002168.1)". The record is from RNAcentral. Lineage: Eukaryota; Metazoa; Chordata; Aves; Galliformes; Phasianidae.
UGUUUGUGGAGUCAGCCUUGGCUGUGGGGUCUAUGGGGUCAACCUCAUCUAUGGGGUCAGCCCAUGUCUAUGGGGUCAGCCCUGUUUGUGGGGUCAGCUCCAUCUAUGGGGUCAGCCCUGGCUGUGGGGUCUAUGGGGUCUAUGGGGUCAGCCCUGUUUAUGGGGUCAGCCCAUCUCUGUGGUGUCUAUGGGGUCAGCCCCAUCUAUGGGGUCAGCCCAUGUCUAUGGGGUCAGCCCUAUUUAUGGGGUCUGUGGGGUCAGGCCUGUCUAUGGGGUCAGCCCCAUUUAUGGGGUCAGCCCUGUCUGUGGGGUCUGUGGGGUCAGCCCUGUCUAUGGGGUCAUUCCUGUCUGUGGGAUCUAUGGGGUCAUCCCUGUCUGUGGGGUCUAUGGGGUCAGCCCUAUUUAUGGGGUCUGUGGGGCAGUUGUAGGGUCAGGCCUGUUUGUGGGGUCAGCCCCGUCUAUGGGGUCAGCCCU